Molecule: long non-coding RNA, 5215 nt
Filed under: Gossypium barbadense (sea-island cotton)
Lineage: Eukaryota; Viridiplantae; Streptophyta; Magnoliopsida; Malvales; Malvaceae
Description: long non-coding RNA (GBAR_LNC016114)
Source: RNAcentral
GUCAAUGGAAAAUUGGCUCAAAAAGGGAAGAGCCCAAUCCCAAACCAGUAAGCGGUUUACAUAGUUAAAUGAACAGGCUUUUUCUGCCCUCGAAAGAAGAGAAAGUGCACCAAAAACUCAGGCCAAUAAAAGCACCUAAAAGAUACUAUUCAGUCAAGCUUAGCAGGAGCCACCAUGCUCCCUUGACCACCUGACACAUAAGCCCCAGAUUAGAUUUGUUAAGGGGAGGUCCAAACUCCAAAGUCUGACUUAAAUUUUUAAGAGGAUUUUGGGAAAAUAUUAAAUUCAAAAAAUAAAUUUGAGUAAAGAUUUAAGUUGAUUUAAAAUAUAGAUUGAGCUCAAAUUUAAAUAUUUAAAUUUAAAUUCGAUUUGAUUAUUUUUAAGUUUAUAAUAUUUUAUAUUAUUUUUUUAUAUAUAUUAUAUAAUUUAUAACAUAUUAAAAAAAUAAACUCAUACUAAAUAUAUAAUAUUACUCUAAUGUAAAUAUUAAAACUAUGACAUGCAUUGAAUUGAAUUGAAACUGACUUGGUUACUAGUCAAAUAUGUUCUCUAUUUAGGAGGGAUCACAAAGAAGAUCAACUGUGGACUAAUGAUAUGUUGGAACACUAAAACUGUUAUGUUGGAUGUCCACAUAAUCAUAUAUAACACUAUUUCCAUGCAUGGUGGGAUUUCCCGGGUUCGGGAACCACUAUUUUUUUUAGAGGGACUUUGUAUUUAGAGUUUGAUUGCAUUUAGUCGCUCUACUGAAAAAUUAGACAAAUUAAUCACUUCGUUAAAUUUUUUAUGAUAAAUAAUUACGUGGAAUGUUAAUUUAAAUGGUUUAUUACUAAUUUGAUCCCUAAACUAUAGCUAAAAUUUCAUUUUGACUUUUUUUGAAAAUUUUCUCAACAAUAAUUCUAAAAAUUUUAAAAAUAAAUAUAAAUUAUUAAAAAUUAUGUUAACAAUUCAAUAAAUUUAUCCCUCAAUGUUUACAAAAUUUUAACAUAAUUUUUAAUAAUUUAUAUUUAUUUUUAAAAUUUUUAUUUUUUUUUAAAUUGUUGUUAAUAAAAAAACUUUUAAAAAAUCAAAAUAAUAUUUUAGCUAUAAUUUAGGGACCAAUUUAAUAAUUAACUAUUUAAACUAACGUUGCACAUUAUUAUUUAACAGAAAAAAUUUAAUAAAGAAGUUAAUUUGCACGUUUUAAAAUAUAUAAGAGCUAAUUUACUCUCUUUUUUUAAGUAAAAAAACCGAAAUGUAAUUCAUACCUUAGUAAAAGACCUGAUACUUUUUACAUUACUUUUGCUUUCAUGAUUUUGUAUCAUUCAAAUCUGUUGCUCUUUCUUUCUGUCUUUAUCACUGCCAUUCUUCAACUCCUCCCAUCAAAUCCCCGGCCUCCAUGUACUUUGCUACACAGAGUUGAAAUAGUAUGUACUCCACAAAGAUUAGGAGAGGAUUAAGGCUCUAAAUCAAGCAGGUGAACAUGAGCUAAGGUUUUUUCCUAUUGGGUUGGCCCCCUUAUGUGAAAUAACUCCUUGUUUUAAACCCAAACCUUUAAUGAUUAAUCAUUUGGUGGAGCAUACAGUUAAAAGUUGAAAUGGAAAAGAAAUGACUACUGUAACACUCCUAACCCGUAUCCCUCACCGGAACUGGGUUACGAAGUAUUACCGGAGAUUACAGAUUAAACAGACAGAAAUCUCAAACAUUUUAUAUCAUUAAAACAAGUCAUCAAAGCAUCAUUUUAAUCCAAAUUAUAAACUCUCCAAAAUAGAUUUUAUAACUUCAUUAAGAAUCAAACCACAAAAUAACUAAUAUUUAGACACUCUAGGUACAUGCCGACACAAAGAAAUAAACAUCACCAUAUUUGAGUUCGGGAUCGUUGUUGGGUGCUGAAUCAGCGAUCAGACUUAAGUACUUAACCUGCGCAUGGAAAAUAAAACCGUACGCUGAGUAAAAACUCAGUGGUAUUUCUAUAAUCUGAAUAUUUAAAAAAAUAAAAAAUGUAUAAUAAAAUGUUAAGCACAAUUGAACAUUUAAAAUCACACAAUACUCGAUUUUCAUCACUUGCUAUAUAUAAUACCUUUCCAUAAUUUAUUCACGUAUCAUUUAAAUAAUAGCACUAUCCAUUCCACAAUCAAUUUAUGAGUAUAUAACUCGUGUAUUCCAUGUAUUUACAACAUAUUUCACAUUCUAUUUUCAGUUUACUAUCUCAUAUUCUUAUUCUUAGCCCAAAGUAGAUUUUAUAGAAUACACCGGAUAUACGAGACAAAUACAGAGGUGCAUUGUUAUGCACUAAUGAACAGAGAGCACUGAAGUGCUAUACAAAGAGCACAUAUGUGCUAAACAGAGAGCACUGACGUGCUAGUAAUCAGAGAGCACUAACGUGCUAAUAAUCAAAGAGCACUGAUGUGCUAAUUAUCAGAGGGCGCGCUAAAGUUCCUUAAUGGCAUGCCACUAAUAUCCAAGUAAUUCUAAAGUCCGUCUACUUGGGCAUUAAAAUUGAAUUUUAUACAUAUAAAAAAUAAUCCAAUUAUCAUAUUUGCACAAUUUCACAUUUACACAUAUAUAUAUAUUCAUAAUAUAUAUAUUCCAAUUCAAUUCAACCAAUAUAAUUCCAUCACAUAUCAAGACAAUCCAUUUCAAUUGUAAAACACAAUAAUUCUCACCUCAAUCACUUACUAUAACAUUUAAUCAAAAUACAACAAUUAAUAAUUAGAUUCUGAUUAUAGAAAUACAAAUCAGGAAUUCCGAGCUAUUCGAUGUCGACUAUAUUUUUCCCCUUUUUAGUCGAGAAUUUCGGUACGACGCUAGUAACGGAAUUAAAACAAUUAAAAAUCAUCAAUACAACACCAUUCAAUCUCACAUUAAAUAUUUCAAUUUUUACUCAAUAUUUGCCUAAAUUUCAAUUUAGUCCCUAAACCGAGACUAACUUUUAUUCUCAAAACUAAUUUCAUAUUUUCAUUCCUUUCCUACUUUAAACUAAUUUAACUCUCUAAUUUCACCAUAAAUCUUUAAUUUUGAAAUUCCCUCAAUUUAGUGCCUAUUAAUUCAAAACCUAUAAUUUAUUUUACAAUUUAAUCCAUUUCUCUAUUAUAAUUUGAAAUUUUAUCAAUUUAAUCCCUAAUUCUUCAAUUAAUUCAACAUGAACAACAUCUAAAAAUUUACUAACUUUCAAAAAUUUCAACUUAAAUCAAGUAGUAUUUUGUUCUAGAAUUCCAAAAACAUCAAAAUUAUAAGAAAAGAGACUAAAUUAACUUACCAAUCAAUGAACCCUGAAAUCCCAAAUUUUCUUUCUUUCCUUCCCUUUUUCUUUUUCUUUCCUUUAUUCCCUGUUUUCGUUUUGCUAUUCUGUUUUUAUUCUCUUUUUCUAUCUUUUAUUUAAUUAAUAAUAAUAUAAUAAAUAAAUAUCUUUUACUUAAUUAAUAAGCAUGCACAUAUAUUAAUUACAAAUGUAUACAUAUAUGUAUUUAUAAUUAUCACACACUUGUCACUUUUUAUGGUUUAAUUAUUAGUUUAGUCCUUUCACCUUUUUCUAUUUUAUAAUUAACUUUCACACCUAAUUCAAUUUAGUCUUAAUACUCAAUUAACUUUAAUUUAACUAAAUUCACUCAACUAAAAUUCAAUUGGUGAUAUAACUAAUUCUAUAAAUAUUUUUAAUAAUUAUUUUACGAGUCCGUUUUACCAAGACGGAGACCCGAUAAUUCACUAAUUCAAAAAUAUUUCUAAAAUCAAGCUUAAUUUAUAAUUAUUAAUUAAUAAAUUUUUCUAACUUUUUCAUCGAAUUUAGUGAUCUCAAAUCACUGUUAUGAUACUACUGAAAAUUAAACUGUUACAAUUACUUAUUUCCUUUUGAGCCUGCUCGACAUUUUCAUGCUUUGUUAUCAGCUCCAGAUGAUGGAAGCUCACAUUUAUUGUUAGUCUUUGGAUGUUGGAUCUCCUGUUGCAGUCUUCCUUUCUCAAAUUUCAAACAAAGAGCUUGCAUUAUUAAGAUAAAAAUGAAAACUGAUAAAAAAAAAAAAAGCUGUUUGGCAUGAUCGUGAUGAAUCUAGGUAUAUAAAUUGUAUGUUAAACUGUGACGUGACCUAUCUUCUUUCUUAUCCUUUAUUUGAUGUUGUUUAAGGAUCCAAUCCAGAUUUGAUGUCUAACUAAAAAAUUGAUAUAAGUUCUUUUGUCAUCUCAUCCUGAUUUACUCAACUUUAUUAUUGUUUCUUAAUCACUUAAAUAUGAUAAUUUUUUUUAUAUUAGAGUCUAUUUUUUUUUCAAGUUAGGUCCUAAAUUUGAUAAUUGUUUCUAUAUUAGAGUCUGAAUUUAAUAACUAUUUCCAAAUUAAGGAUUGAACUUUAGGUUUUCAAGGACUAAUUUUAGGGUCAAAUUUAAAGUCUAACUUGAAUAAAAAAAUUCAGACCCCAAUAUAUAAAAUGUUACCAAGUUCGAGUCUCAAAUGUUAUUUAACCCUUUCUUAAUUAUAAGAUAACAUGAUUUUUUGUUUCACCGUGCACUAAUUUGAAGAUCUUAAGCGUGAUUGUAUAGGAAUCUAGACCGGAAAUGGGGACGACAAACCUAAGACGCUGCCAGGUUAAUAGGAGAUUGGAAUUGGCUGCCCUCUGUGUGUCGUGCCGUUGUUGAAAAGUGGGUGUUCGGUGCGCUGCGCUAAAGGUGCAUUUGGUAGGUUGAACUUUACACUGUUAUAUCCCAAAAUAAUAUAACAUUGUUUAGGCUGCCUCCUAAGUAUCUUAAAUUAGGGCAUGAUCUUAAAUUUUAGACUAAUUUAUUUUCUACUUUUUAUUAUUUUAAUCAAUUUAGUACUUUAUUUAUAAAAUAUUAUGAAACCUUCCUUCAAUCAAAUUUCCAAUGUAUAUUUUUUAUGCUGUGAUUUCUAAAUCCAUCCAACUCAAGCAAAAAGCCAAAACAUUCUAAUUAAUUAGUCAAUUUCAACUCUUUAAUUUGCCUCUCAUUCCAAUGAAAAAAAAUUAAUUUACAAAUACCCAGAAUUUUGUUUGUUUGUUCUUCCACCAACAAAUUAAUGACACAGAAAUCACAAGUUGUACUGUAAUAGUAGCAAAAGAAAUAGAAAACCUUCAAGUUCUUUACUCCCAGCCAGGUCACUUCAUGUAAAGAUAGCGCACAUGCUUCCCUCACCAGUCUCCAGUUUAAGUAGUCAAAGAAGCUUUGAUUCUGAUGUAAAAGCCUUGAGUACUGCCACAACUUCAUGACUAUACAAAAGCCCAUUCUUUCUCUC